RNAcentral lists this ribosomal RNA (453 nucleotides) under uncultured Porphyromonas sp. Its description in RNAcentral is "partial 16S ribosomal RNA". It matches the Rfam family "Bacterial small subunit ribosomal RNA", at positions 341 to 792 of the family's 1533-position model. Lineage: Bacteria; Pseudomonadati; Bacteroidota; Bacteroidia; Bacteroidales; Porphyromonadaceae. The record is from RNAcentral.
ACGGAAGGCAGCAGUGAGGAAUAUUGGUCAAUGGAGGCAACUCUGAACCAGCCAUCUCGCGUGAAGGAAUACGGCCCUACGGGUCUUAAACUUCUUUUAUAGGGGGAUAAAGUGAGAUAUGUAUAUCUUUUUGUAGGUACCCUAUGAAUAAGCAUCGGCUAACUCCGUGCCAGCAGCCGCGGUAAUACGGAGGAUGCGAGCGUUAUCCGGAUUUAUUGGGUUUAAAGGGUGCGUAGGCGGGCUAUUAAGUCAGCGGUCAAAUCGUGUUGCUCAACAAUACUGAGCCGUUGAAACUGGUGGUCUUGAGUGUAAAUGAGGUAGGCGGAAUGUGACGUGUAGCGGUGAAAUGCUUAGAUAUGUCACAGAACCCCGAUUGCGAAGGCAGCUUACCAAGAUACAACUGACGCUGAGGCACGAAAGCGUGGGUAUCAAACAGGAUUAGAUACCCUGGUA